Molecule: ribosomal RNA, 1373 nt
Filed under: uncultured bacterium
Lineage: Bacteria
Description: bacterial SSU rRNA
Rfam family: Bacterial small subunit ribosomal RNA
Source: RNAcentral
GAUGAACGCUGGCGGCGUGCCUAAUACAUGCAAGUCGAGCGAACGGACGAGAAGCUUGCUUCUCUGAUGUUAGCGGCGGACGGGUGAGUAACACGUGGAUAACCUACCUAUAAGACUGGGAUAACUUCGGGAAACCGGAGCUAAUACCGGAUAAUAUUUUGAACCGCAUGGUUCAAAAGUGAAAGACGGUCUUGCUGUCACUUAUAGAUGGAUCCGCGCUGCAUUAGCUAGUUGGUAAGGUAACGGCUUACCAAGGCAACGAUGCAUAGCCGACCUGAGAGGGUGAUCGGCCACACUGGAACUGAGACACGGUCCAGACUCCUACGGGAGGCAGCAGUAGGGAAUCUUCCGCAAUGGGCGAAAGCCUGACGGAGCAACGCCGCGUGAGUGAUGAAGGUCUUCGGAUCGUNAAACUCUGUUAUUAGGGAAGAACAUAUGUGUAAGUAACUGUGCACAUCUUGACGGUACCUAAUCAGAAAGCCACGGCUAACUACGUGCCAGCAGCCGCGGUAAUACGUAGGUGGGCAGCGUUAUCCCGGAAUUAUUGGGCGUAAGCGCGCGUAGGCGGUUUUUUAGUCUGAUGUGAAAGCCCACGGCUCAACCGUGGAGGGUCAUUGGAAACUGGAAAACUUGAGUGCAGAAGAGGAAAGUGGAAUUCCAUGUGUAGCGGUGAAAUGCGCAGAGAUAUGGAGGAACACCAGUGGCGAAGGCGACUUUCUGGUCUGUAACUGACGCUGAUGUGCGAAAGCGUGGGGAUCAAACAGGAUUAGAUACCCUGGUAGUCCACGCCGUAAACGAUGAGUGCUAAGUGUUAGGGGGUUUCCGCCCCUUAGUGCUGCAGCUAACGCAUUAAGCACUCCGCCUGGGGAGUACGACCGCAAGGUUGAAACUCAAAGGAAUUGACGGGGACCCGCACAAGCGGUGGAGCAUGUGGUUUAAUUCGAAGCAACGCGAAGAACCUUACCAAAUCUUGACAUCCUUUGACAACUCUAGAGAUAGAGCCUUCCCCUUCGGGGGGGACAAAGUGACAGGUGGUGCAUGGUUGUCGUCAGCUCGUGUCGUGAGAUGUUGGGUUAAGUCCCGCAACGAGCGCAACCCUUAAGCUUAGUUGCCAUCAUUAAGUUGGGCACUCUAAGUUGACUGCCGGUGACAAACCGGAGGAAGGUGGGGAUGACGUCAAAUCAUCAUGCCCCUUAUGAUUUGGGCUACACACGUGCUACAAUGGACAAUACAAAGGGCAGCGAAACCGCGAGGUCAAGCAAAUCCCAUAAAGUUGUUCUCAGUUCGGAUUGUAGUCUGCAACUCGACUACAUGAAGCUGGAAUCGCUAGUAAUCGUAGAUCAGCAUGCUACGGUGAAUACGUUCCCGGGUCU